Molecule: ribosomal RNA, 450 nt
Filed under: uncultured Glomeromycotina
Lineage: Eukaryota; Fungi; Glomeromycota
Description: SSU rRNA
Rfam family: Eukaryotic small subunit ribosomal RNA
Source: RNAcentral
AGCAGCCGCGGUAAUUCCAGCUCCAAUAACGUAUAUUAAAGUUGUUGCAGUUAAAAAGCUCGUAGUUGAAUUUCGGGGUUAGUAGGUUGGUCAUGCCUCUGGUAUGUACUGGUCUCACUGAUUCCUCCUUCCUGAUGAGCCGUAAUGCCAUUAAUUUGGUGUUGCGGGGAAUUUGGACUGUUACUUUGAAAAAAUUAGAGUGUUUAAAGCAAGCUAACGCUUGAAUACAUUAGCAUGGAAUAAUGAAAUAGGACGUUCGAUCCUAUUUUGUUGGUUUCUAGGAUUGACGUAAUGAUUAAUAGGGAUAGUUGGGGGCAUUAGUAUUCAAUUGUCAGAGGUGAAAUUCUUGGAUUUAUUGAAGACUAACUACUGCGAAAGCAUUUGCCAAGGAUGUUUUCAUUAAUCAAGAACGAAAGUUAGGGGAUCGAAGACGAUCAGAUACCGUCGUAG